This 898-nucleotide ribosomal RNA is filed under the name Colletotrichum lineola. RNAcentral describes it as "LSU rRNA". It matches the Rfam family "Eukaryotic large subunit ribosomal RNA", at positions 35 to 964 of the family's 3401-position model. The record is from RNAcentral. Lineage: Eukaryota; Fungi; Ascomycota; Sordariomycetes; Glomerellales; Glomerellaceae.
CAAGCAUAUCAAUAAGCGGAGGAAAAGAAACCAACAGGGAUUGCCUCAGUAACGGCGAGUGAAGCGGCAACAGCUCAAAUUUGAAAUCUGGCCCUAGGCCCGAGUUGUAAUUUGCAGAGGAUGCUUUUGGUGCGGUGCCUUCCGAGUUCCCUGGAACGGGACGCCAGAGAGGGUGAGAGCCCCGUACGGUUGGACACCAAGCCUUUGUAAAGCUCCUUCGACGAGUCGAGUAGUUUGGGAAUGCUGCUCAAAAUGGGAGGUAUAUUUCUUCUAAAGCUAAAUAUAGGCCAGAGACCGAUAGCGCACAAGUAGAGUGAUCGAAAGAUGAAAAGCACUUUGAAAAGAGGGUUAAACAGCACGUGAAAUUGUUAAAAGGGAAGCGCUUGUGACCAGACUUGCGUCCGGUGAAUCACCCAGCUCUCGCGGCUGGGGCACUUUGCCGGCACAGGCCAGCAUCAGCUCGCUGUCGGGGACAAAAGCUUCGGGAACGUAGCUCUCUUCGGGGAGUGUUAUAGCCCGUUGCAUAAUACCCUUCGGUGGGCUGAGGUACGCGCUCCGCAAGGAUGCUGGCGUAAUGGUCAUCAGCGACCCGUCUUGAAACACGGACCAAGGAGUCAACCUUAUGUGCGAGUGUUUGGGUGUUAAACCCCUACGCGUAAUGAAAGUGAACGCAGGUGAGAGCUUCGGCGCAUCAUCGACCGAUCCUGAUGUUCUCGGAUGGAUUUGAGUAAGAGCAUAUAGGGUUGGACCCGAAAGAAGGUGAACUAUGCGUGUAUAGGGUGAAGCCAGAGGAAACUCUGGUGGAGGCUCGCAGCGGUUCUGACGUGCAAAUCGAUCGUCAAAUAUGCGCAUGGGGGCGAAAGACUAAUCGAACCUUCUAGUAGCUGGUUUUUGCCGA